UNGGAGAGGAAAGUGGAAUUCNUAGUGUAGCGGUGAAAUGCGUAGAUAUUAGGAAGAACACCNGUGGCGAAGGCGACUUUCUGGACGAAAACUGACGCUGAGGCGCGAAAGCCAGGGGAGCGAACGGGAUUAGAUACCCCGGUAGUCCUGGUCGUAAACGAUGGGUACUAGGUGUAGGAGGUAUCGACCCCUUCUGUGCCGGAGUUAACGCAAUAAGUACCCCGCCUGGGGAGUACGACCGCAAGGUUGAAACUCAAAGGAAUUGACGGGGGCCCGCACAAGCGGUGGAGUAUGUGGUUUAAUUCGACGCAACGCGAAGAACCUUACCAGGUCUUGACAUUGAUGGACAGAACUAGAGAUAGUUCCUCUUCUUCGGAAGCCAGAAAACAGGUGGUGCACGGUUGUCGUCAGCUCGUGUCGUGAGAUGUUGGGUUAAGUCCCGCAACGAGCGCGACCCCUAUCUUAUGUUGCCAGCACGUAAUGGUGGGAACUCAUGAGAGACUGCCGCAGACGAUGCGGAGGAAGGCGGGGAUGACGUCAAAUCAUCAUGCCCCUUAUGACCUGGGCUACACACGUACUACAAUGGGAGUUAAUAGACGGAAGCGAGAUCGCGAGAUGGAGCAAACCCGAGAAACACUCUCUCAGUUCGGAUCGUAGGCUGCAACUCGCCUACGUGAAGUCGGAAUCGCUAGUAAUCGCAGGUCAGCAUACUGCGGUGAAUACGUUCCCGGGCCUUGUACACACCGCCCGUCACACCACGAAAGUCGGAAGUGCCCAAAGCCGGUGGGGUANCCUUCGGGAGCCA
Molecule: ribosomal RNA, 805 nt
Filed under: uncultured bacterium
Lineage: Bacteria
Description: bacterial SSU rRNA
Rfam family: Bacterial small subunit ribosomal RNA
Source: RNAcentral